RNAcentral lists this unclassified non-coding RNA (303 nucleotides) under uncultured Mycosphaerellaceae. RNAcentral describes it as "sequence contains ITS1". The stretch from base 1 to 105 matches the Rfam family "5.8S ribosomal RNA", at positions 50 to 154 of the family's 154-position model. Lineage: Eukaryota; Fungi; Ascomycota; Dothideomycetes; Mycosphaerellales; Mycosphaerellaceae. The record is from RNAcentral.
GAAAUGCGAUAAGUAAUGUGAAUUGCAGAAUUCAGUGAAUCAUCGAAUCUUUGAACGCACAUUGCGCCCCCUGGUAUUCCGGGGGGCAUGCCCGUUCGAGCGUCAUUACACCACUCCAGCCUCGCUGGGUAUUGGGCGUCUUCGCGGGGGAGCAAUCCCCCGCGCGCCUCAAAGUCUCCGGCUGAGCGGUCCCGUCUCGCAGCGUUGUGGCAUCACGUCUCGCUCUGAGCUCGGGCUCCUCACGGCCGUUAAAUCACACCUCAGGUUGACCUCGGAUCGGGUAGGGAUACCCGCUGAACUUAA